GGGAUUAUGGCUCAGCGGUAGAGCACUCACCUAACACAUGUGAGACCCUGGGUUCAAUCCUCAGUACCA
This 69-nucleotide transfer RNA is filed under the name Ictidomys tridecemlineatus (thirteen-lined ground squirrel). Its description in RNAcentral is "Spermophilus tridecemlineatus (thirteen-lined ground squirrel) tRNA". It matches the Rfam family "tRNA". Rfam says of the family: Transfer RNA (tRNA) molecules are approximately 80 nucleotides in length. Their secondary structure includes four short double-helical elements and three loops (D, anti-codon, and T loops). Further hydrogen bonds mediate the characteristic L-shaped molecular structure. tRNAs have two regions of fundamental functional importance: the anti-codon, which is responsible for specific mRNA codon recognition, and the 3' end, to which the tRNAs corresponding amino acid is attached (by aminoacyl-tRNA synthetases). tRNAs cope with the degeneracy of the genetic code in two manners: having more than one tRNA (with a specific anti-codon) for a particular amino acid; and 'wobble' base-pairing, i.e. permitting non-standard base-pairing at the 3rd anti-codon position. Lineage: Eukaryota; Metazoa; Chordata; Mammalia; Rodentia; Sciuridae. The record is from Rfam by way of RNAcentral.